GAUGAACGCUAGCUACAGGCUUAACACAUGCAAGUCGAGGGGAAACGAUAUUGGAAGCUUGCUUCCGAUAGGCGUCGACCGGCGCACGGGUGAGUAACGCGUAUCCAACCUGCCCACCACUUGGGAAUAACCUUGCGAAAGUAAGACUAAUACCCAAUGAUAUCUCUAGAAGACAUCUGAAGGAGAUUAAAGAUUUAUCGGUGAUGGAUGGGGAUGCGUCUGAUUAGCUUGUUGGCGGGGUAACGGCCCACCAAGGCGACGAUCAGUAGGGGUUCUGAGAGGAAGGUCCCCCACAUUGGAACUGAGACACGGUCCAAACUCCUACGGGAGGCAGCAGUGAGGAAUAUUGGUCAAUGGGCGAGAGCCUGAACCAGCCAAGUAGCGUGCAGGAUGACGGCCCUAUGGGUUGUAAACUGCUUUUAUAAGGGAAUAAAGUGAGUCUCGUGAGACUUUUUGCAUGUACCUUAUGAAUAAGGACCGGCUAAUUCCGUGCCAGCAGCCGCCGCGG
RNAcentral lists this ribosomal RNA (508 nucleotides) under uncultured bacterium. Its description in RNAcentral is "partial 16S ribosomal RNA". It matches the Rfam family "Bacterial small subunit ribosomal RNA", at positions 28 to 523 of the family's 1533-position model. The record is from RNAcentral.